AGUGAACGCUGGCGGUAGGCCUAACACAUGCCAGUCGAACGGCAGCACAGUAAGAGCUUGCUCUUUCGUGUGGCGAGUGGCAGACGGGUGAGGAAUACAUCGGACUCUACUUUUUCGUGGGGUAUCACGUAGGGAAACUUACGCUAAUACCGCAUACUACCUACGGGUGAAAGCAGGGGAUCUUCGGACCUUGCGCGAUUGAGUGAGCCGAUGUCGGAUUAGCUAGUUGGCGGGGUAAAGGCCCACCAAGGCGACGAUCCGUAGCUGGUCUGAGAGGAUGAUCAGCCACACUGGAACUGAGACACGGUCCAGACUCCUACGGGAGGCAGCAGUGGGGAAUAUUGGACAAUGGGCGCAAGCCUGAUCCAGCCAUACCGCGUGGGUGAAGAAGGCCUUCGGGUUGUAAAGCACUUUUGUUGGGAAAGAAAAGCAGAAGGUUAAUACCCCGCUGUUUUGACGUUACCCAAAGAAUAAGCACCGGCUAACUUCGUG
Molecule: ribosomal RNA, 492 nt
Filed under: uncultured bacterium
Lineage: Bacteria
Description: partial 16S ribosomal RNA
Rfam family: Bacterial small subunit ribosomal RNA
Source: RNAcentral